RNAcentral lists this long non-coding RNA (1151 nucleotides) under Sus scrofa (pig). Its description in RNAcentral is "lncRNA (ENSSSCG00055011089.1, ENSSSCG00160025201.1, ENSSSCG00175016470.1)". The record is from RNAcentral. Lineage: Eukaryota; Metazoa; Chordata; Mammalia; Artiodactyla; Suidae.
AUGUGUCGAUAUAAAUUCAUCACUUGUGGAGUUCCCGUCGUGGCUCAAUUCUAAGACCCAAACAAAUGCUACCCUUGCUAUCUUUGCCUUUCACUCACAAGGAAUUCCUCUCCUCAAGGUGCAAAUAACAUCAGAUUGCCCCCUUCUGAUUGAUUAUGAACCAUCCACUGAGAGGCAUUUAAAAUCGGGUUCCUCUUUGGGGUCCCACAAAAACUCUGGGUAGGGGCGAGGGGUCACACAGCCCCAAAGAGGUCCUCCAGGGGUCCAGGUCAGGGUGGCUGCCCCUCUGGGCAGUGCUGCGGCCUUACCCCAUGGCACACAUUCACUGGCCUUCUGCUCCAUCUGGCAGAGCCCUGCCAAUGCGGGGCCUCCAGGGCCACCCCACAUUCUCCCUGGUGGGCCUGCCUGGAGCCUCCACACGGACCUGGAGCCCACAGAUGUGCCCUGCAGCCAUCUCCCCCUCACAGGUGAGCUCAAGGCUACCUUUUCCUGGCCCCUGGGAGGCAGACAGCAGGCUCAGGCACUGUCCCCUUUCCAAGCCUCCAAAACACAACACAUGCAUUCCGCCACUUUCUGCCAUGACAGGACAUCAGCCUUAAAACCACAAAGGUUUUCUGAAUGUAAGGAGGGCUCAAGAUCUUAAGAAGGGCAAAGUCUGGCUCUCUUCCUGGAAAGAGAAACAUAGCCAUAAGCCCACUCUGUCCCCACCCAACAAGGAUGAACGGAAUUAUAUAGCAAAACAUCCAUGAAACUAAACAACCAAAAUUUCUCCAUCUCUCACCCAGCAUCCUGCUACACAGAUAUUCACUGAGCACUUGCCAUGCGUGCUCUGUUAGGCUUGGUAGAAGCAAGCCCAUUUUAUCUUUGCAGCAGUGCUGCAAGAAAAAGACAGCAGACUCUCUUCUCCAAAUGAUGGCUGAGAUGUGUUCAGGUCAAGCAGUAGAGCCCGGACCGGCACCUACCGGAUGCUCAUGGUUGAGAUUUGCGUAAAUACUUGGGGAUGAAUGGACUUCUAUAACUGGAUAACUUUUAGAAAACUACAUACCACCUGCUAUGCCUUUCUCUGUCCAGUGGUGAGGACGUCUUGCUGGAUUAGCUAGCGCAUUCUGCCUGCCCCUCCCGGGGGGUCUGCUUUUGUGCCUUGGGCUGUC